CGUCAAAGGAGGUAUAACUUAAAAUUGAAGUACUUCAAUGGGUUAUCACAAGAUCAGGUGCCGAGAACAUCACCAGUGGCUUGCAUGAGUGAUGCACAAUGGCUUGAAUUGGUGGCCAUGUGGUCAAAGGAAGAACACAAGGAGAAGUGUGCAAAAAACAAAAUUAAUCGUGAGUGCGUCCAAUAUCAGCAGCGCACAGGUUCACGGUGCUACGAGGCACAAGCUUAUGUUGCGAAACAAGAAAGAUUUAAAGAUUCAACGCCCACUGCAAUUGACCUCUUUAAGGAAAUGCAUUGCAGCAGGAAAAGAGAUUUCAGUGAGCAAGUAAAGCAAGCUAUUGUAAGUUCUGAAUCUUGUGAUUUUUGUAGGC
Molecule: long non-coding RNA, 370 nt
Organism: Panicum hallii
Lineage: Eukaryota; Viridiplantae; Streptophyta; Magnoliopsida; Poales; Poaceae
Exons: 3
Source: RefSeq, a predicted model, not a curated record